GCCUGCGUGGUGCAAUUGGAAGACACGACUGACUUAGGAUCAGUUGCCUUAUGGUAUGAAGGUUCGAGACCUUUCGCAGGUA
This 82-nucleotide transfer RNA is filed under the name Treponema bryantii. Its description in RNAcentral is "tRNA_Leu_TAG". It matches the Rfam family "tRNA". Rfam says of the family: Transfer RNA (tRNA) molecules are approximately 80 nucleotides in length. Their secondary structure includes four short double-helical elements and three loops (D, anti-codon, and T loops). Lineage: Bacteria; Pseudomonadati; Spirochaetota; Spirochaetia; Treponematales; Treponemataceae. The record is from RNAcentral.